RNAcentral lists this ribosomal RNA (256 nucleotides) under uncultured bacterium. RNAcentral's name for it is "partial 16S ribosomal RNA". It matches the Rfam family "Bacterial small subunit ribosomal RNA", at positions 524 to 776 of the family's 1533-position model. The record is from RNAcentral.
CACGUAGGGGGGCAAGCGUUUGUCCGGAUUUAUUGGGCGUAAAGAGCUCGUAGGCGGUUCGGUAAGUCGGGUGUGAAACCUCCAGGCUCAACCUGGAGACGCCACCUGAUACUGCUGUGACUCGAGUCCGGUAGGGGAGCGUGGAAUUCCUGGUGUAGCGGUGGAAUGCGCAGAUAUCAGGAGGAACACCAAUAGCGAAGGCAGCUCGCUGGGACGGUACUGACGCUAAGGCGCGAAAGCGUGGGGAGCGAACAGG